AUGCACGCUGGCGGCGUGCCUCAUACAUGCAAGUCGCGCGCACGGACGAGAAGCUUGCUUCUCUGAUGUUAGCGGCGGACGGGUGAGUAACACGUGGAUAACCUACCUAUAAGACUGGGAUAACUUCGGGAAACCGGAGCUAAUACCGGAUAAUAUUUUGAACCGCAUGGUUCAAAAGUGAAAGACGGUCUUGCUGUCACUUAUAGAUGGAUCCGCGCUGCAUUAGCUAGUUGGUAAGGUAACGGCUUACCAAGGCAACGAUGCAUAGCCGACCUGAGAGGGUGAUCGGCCACACUGGAACUGAGACACGGUCCAGACUCCUACGGGAGGCAGCAGUAGGGAAUCUUCCGCAAUGGGCGAAAGCCUGACGGUGCAACGCCGCGUGAGUGAUGAAGGUCUUCGGAUCGUAAAACUCUGUUAUUAGGGAAGAACAUAUGUGUAAGUAACUGUGCACAUCUUGACGGUACCUAAUCAGAAAGCCACGGCUAACUACGUG
This 496-nucleotide ribosomal RNA is filed under the name uncultured bacterium. RNAcentral describes it as "partial 16S ribosomal RNA". It matches the Rfam family "Bacterial small subunit ribosomal RNA", at positions 29 to 507 of the family's 1533-position model. The record is from RNAcentral.